CGAACGCGAACGGGACUUCGGUCCCAAGUAGAGUGGCGCACGGGUGAGUAACGCGUAGAUAACCUGUCUUCAUGUCUGGAAUAAUACGCCGAAAGGGGUACUAAUACCGGAUAUUCUUGUUUUUCAUAAGGUUGACAAGAAAAGGUGGCCUCUGCAUAUGCUACUGCAUGAAGAGGGGUCUGCGUACCAUUAGCUAGUAGGUGGGGUAAGGGCCUACCUAGGCAACGAUGGUUAGCGGGUCUGAGAGGAUGAUCCGCCACACUGGCACUGGAACACGGGCCAGACUCCUACGGGAGGCAGCAGUGAGGAAUAUUGCGCAAUGGGGGCAACCCUGACGCAGCGACGCCGCGUGAGUGAGGAAGGCCUUCGGGUCGUAAAGCUCUGUCAAGAGGAAAGAAGUGCAUAGCGGUUAAUACCCGUUGUGUUUGACGGUACCUCUAAAGGAAGCACCGGCUAACUCCGUGCCAGCAGCCGCGGUAAUACGGAGGGUGCAAGCGUUGUUCGGAAUCACUGGGCGUAAAGGGCGCGUAGGCGGUUUGAUAAGUCAGAUGUGAAAGCCCAUGGCUUAACUGUGGAAGUGCAUUUGAAACUGUCAGACUUGAGUACCAGAGGGGAAAGUGGAAUUCCCGGU
Molecule: ribosomal RNA, 631 nt
Filed under: uncultured Desulfobulbus sp.
Lineage: Bacteria; Pseudomonadati; Thermodesulfobacteriota; Desulfobulbia; Desulfobulbales; Desulfobulbaceae
Description: bacterial SSU rRNA
Rfam family: Bacterial small subunit ribosomal RNA
Source: RNAcentral